AAGGCGUCAACUGUUACCGUCAUUUCACUUUCGCUUCAACACGAUGCGCCGCAGCGGAUCCUGUUCAAAACUCUCGUCUUGGAUUUUAUGCUCCUGGUUUAAAUCGUCCCUGCUGGGCUGCAGAUGUUGGCAUUUGGUUGUGUGGGAUGAUAAUCACUGGGAUCUACAGCCGCAGCUGCUGGGAAUGUAAAGCAGCUGCAGAUGAAAUUGGGGCCAAAGUAAAAGUGAAAGCGUCUGUUUUCUUCAAGGCUCUGAAUCUUUGUUCGUUUCGCUGAAGCUCUGAGGAUUUUAAUUCACUGAAACCGAACAAUGUGAUGGAUUUAAGGACAGCAGUCUGUAAAGCAUCAGAUCGCUGGGAGAAAAAAGGAAGAAGAGGAGACGGAGACGGAUUGUGGGCAUCUUGCAUCUCUGGCAUUAUGCACCAUCAGCAGAAAUAACAGACCUUUUGGACAUAUAGAAAGUUUCACAUGUUUUUUUGUGGUUCUUGUUGUUCACUGUGGAUUUUUGUGUCACGAUAGUUUAGUCCAAGUAUUCGUACAUUUUAAACCUUUUUACAUUGCGUCUCUUUGCACAGAUUGUAGCCUAAAAUGCCUCAUAAUUGUGAAAUGAAAGGAAUAUAGUUUAUGUAUUUAUUUAUCCUCACUUAAAGAGUAAUAAACAAAACAAAAAUAAAAGAUCAGAACACAAAGGUUACAGUGUGUGUGAUCAGCUGAUUGGUUUAAGUUCAAAUAGCUCAUUUUGUUCUCAGCCAGGUGUGGCCAACUCUUGUUCCUUUGUGUCCUGCUUUGCCUGAUUCGACACACCUGAAUUAAAUGAACGAUUGUCCUGAAGGCUUCAGAAAUUCAUCCUUUCAAUAAUUACUUAAAGCUCCAUCCAGGUAUUUGUGGAUACACCUAAAAUAUUUAACAUAGCAACUUUCAUGGGCUGAAUGUGGCCAACCAGAGCGAAUCCCCACAGCAUAAUGCUGCCAACAUCAUGCUUCACCACAGAGUGAACAGAUUCUCCAACUUGUUCACAGUUAAGCUGGUCUAUCAGUAGAUCUAAUUUCAUGUUAUGUAAGUUGACCUGGUGUUUUAAUAAAGGACUUCACCCUCAUUGGAAGUGAUUCAUGUCAAGCUUCACACUUGUUCUUCAAAUGGUUAAUGAUUGAACUGAUUAUAUAUUUACUCUACUACAAUUAAAAUGCUUCUGACUUUUAUUAAGGUGCAAAUUUCAAAGUGUGAUCUACGUCACGUACGGCCAUUUAUUUCUUACACAAUGGAUACUGCAGCAGUUAAUACCAAAGAAAUAAUUUCUCAUCAAAUGUUUGUCAAGCUUCCACAGCGACACAUUUAAGAUAAAGUUUUUCUUUAUCUUACUAGAUGUACACUGAAUAAAAGAUGUUAAAACAUU
Poeciliopsis prolifica (blackstripe livebearer) is the source of this 1392-nucleotide long non-coding RNA. RefSeq lists it as uncharacterized. The record is from RefSeq and is a predicted model, not a curated record. Lineage: Eukaryota; Metazoa; Chordata; Actinopteri; Cyprinodontiformes; Poeciliidae. The transcript has 2 exons.